UAUAGACUGGUUGAUGCACCAUUUUAAAACAAUUUUUGCUUUUAGAUAGAUUUAAAACCAAGAGAAUGGCAGAACAUUUGUAAACAUUUUCAAACAAAACACUGUUGCCAAAAACCCUGAAUUUGUAAAACUAAAAUAUAGUACCCCUCAACAGCGGAACAUUAAAAUACCCCUACUUCUAUUUUGACACUGUCUCUCACAAAGAAAGUUGAUUGCGUUAAAGGUUCUGUUUAAGUUGGACACUUACAUAUUGCUUUGCUAUUGUAUUAGGCUAAGAAAGGAUAAUUUAAAUGUCCCAACUCAUUUCAAAAGACAAACUAAAAAGAUUUUAAUUUUACCUCAGUAACUAAAAAGUCAAAGCAGAUUUCAAAUGAUAUUAUUAAUUGAAUGCCUGUUUAAGCUUGAUAGUUAAUGAACAUCAGCUGAGUUACAGAGGAAAUGUUUACUGGAAGAAUAUGACACAUUUGGGGAAAUCUUUCCCCAUCUUGCUUUGCUACUAUCAAUUAAAUUGCAUUGAUGGUUGUUGUUAAGCUCACUGAAGGAAGGAAGUCUUUAGCAAGUGAAGGUGACCUAACAGUACUGAGUAAAAUCAUUGGCAGCUACACUGCACCAAUCUCUGUAUGCUUUUACAAAGGACGGAAAAUUGCUGGCGCCACUGGGCCUCAAUUCGGGUCACCAUACAGCUGAAAAUACGAAAUACUAUGCUAUAUCAUGAUAAUGAAUGCACUGGAGGAAGGUGAGAGAUGGUAUGAGUCCCUGCGUGCAUUAAUCACCCGGGGCAAAAGGCUUCUGGCAGGCUUAUGCUGACAACUCUAGUUUCACAGCAUAAGCGACUGGAAAGAUUGCCUUCUUUGUCAAGGGGAGGCACCAGAAUAACAUUAGAAGCAUCAAAUAUCCUCCCUGACGCAGUAUGGAAAGCUCAUCUAGAAGGUGACAGGAUGAAAUCUGAAACCUGCAGAAGCACUUAGAGACAACGAAGAGCCAUUCACAACUGAAUGAGCCAAAAAAGCAACUUUUCCAAUGUACGCAAUCUUCUUGAAUUGGCCUGGGCAGACCAAGUGGAAGAUGGAAAGGAAAUAAUGUUCAAUGUCUUCACUUUAGAAACGUUUGGCCAUUGGCCAGGACAGGAUCUCCAGAUCAGCUCUGCCUAUGAAAAGAUGACCUGAAUUGAAGAGCACAGCGGAAAUAAUGCAGGCCCUCAUGCAGGGGAAGAGCAAUGUACUUAGAAAUAGGUCUAGUAAGGUGCAGACUUGCUCUGAUCCUGACUUUCAUCAUAAAAUAUACUGUACUAUGUCCAGCUACUCAGCUGACAAACUUCAUUGCAUGCUGAUUUAAACUAAUUUUAGGAGCAUUCCCUAUAACUUGACAGUAAUAUACAUAAUCGGAUACAGACUAUUACUGCCCCUAGUAUUUUUUGCUCCUUUGGCCGGUAGUACAAGCCCACCAACUAAAACCUUAUUGCAACCAAAAAAAGAAAUGUUUCCAUUAUUUUAACUAUUUUGCUUCAGGGUGACUGAAGAUUACUGAUAAAUUACAAAAGAAAAACUUUAGUUUUGACUCAGUAAACACCCCAGCAUAAGUGUUACAAUUUACAUAUUGAUUGAAUCAAUAAAUUAAAAAAUAUGAUUAAGGAAUACAAAGCAUCUGCUUUUCUUUAAUUUGCAAAUCUGAUCAAAGAUAGCUAUCUCAAAGAGAUUUUGCAGAUACUGAAAAUUAUUCCAGGGUGCUUAAAAUCAAUACUGAUGAUAUAAUUCAAGAUGUUUUGCUGUGUAAAAAUACCAUACAAACAAUGCCCUGUUUAAAAUGUUCUUGCCUGGUUGUAUAAACACAACCGCUGAAAUUCAUUCAACCAAUUCUCAUAGUCUAAAACACUAGGUAAAAUUAAAAAGAUCAGCUAAUUUUAGUGAAUAUUAUCUUAAGCGGUAACUGAACACAAAUAAAGGCUUAACUACAGAUAUGGGAGCUAUUAAUUCCCCUCAGCUGGUCUGAAAGAAGAGAAUUUGCACUUUAUUCUACAUAAAAUUUAGAUAAUGCAUGACCAGAGAUAUACUCUAAACGAUGCAGUUUUGAACUUGUACUGUUGUGAUAGCUUCUUUCAGAUGAGUUUUCUUUCCCAAAAUGGGCCCUGAAUGAACAAGCUAGUUGUGGCCCUGCCCCACACAAAAAAAUAGUGAAAAUGAAAAAGGAAAUGCCUUUAAACCUUUAGGAUAGUCAGCCAUUUCUUCAAAAUAAUGAUGACCAGGAAAUUCCUUUAAUUUUGAUGAUAUACUUGAUUCAAUUCUACCGCUAUCAGCAUCACACAGGCUGAAAGUCUCCGCUCAUUUAAACCUGAGUUUAUAGAAUUUUUAAAACUUGGCACUAAAAGUAGGUCUCUUUCACAAAUCUGCUAGAGUGAACCCACGCGCAUUCAAAGUUACUGCUAAUUGCACUCAUUUCUAGGCUUUCAAACAAGCUUUAAAAUGCAAGAUGGCUCUUCUAGGUUCAAUGACACAGCAAGGUAUAUUUUGAAAAGUUUGAGGCAUUUUUUUUUAAGAACUUACGAAGGAACUAACUUUCUCCAAUCCAAAUGAGAAAAAAACAUUUUGUGCAUUUUAGGUGGAUUAUUUUCUGUGCCUACAAUUGCCUCUCUUUUGCUACUUUCAGCUAUAUUAAUUAAACAGCAUUUAAUCAACAUUCUAAAUGCACGAAGGUUUUGUUUAAAACAUUUUUAAUAUAUAUGUUGUGUGAUUAUAUGGGCUUGUGGAAGAGAAUGCAUUUGGCAAUGUGACUUUGAAAUCAAAUUGGAAUGUGGUAGUUUGGUGAAUUGUUGGGAGAGUAAAAUACUUCAAAUAAAUGUUCAUUGAACAGUGGGAGUAAUGGUGAUUGCUGGCUGAACCCCUCCCCCACAUAUACACACAGGGGACUUCCGGUGCUCUCCCAUUUUUGUAACGCAGGAAAUAAGCAUAGCAGUCCACUUUCUCACAGAUACAAAUUGAGGACAUAGAUGUAGGUUUCAGGCUAUAACUGCCUAAGGUUAGGUGCUCAUAUAGGCAUACAUACACGCACACACACCAAAUAUAAAUGUGAACUGAACCCCUUUCUUAUGUUCCACUAUUGUUUUCUUCAGCCUUUGUCAUGUCUAAAUUGCUAACUGUAAAAGGAAUGUUGUGAGGGCACCCGAAGGUUCGAUCCCUGUGUGUCAAACUAAAUAGGCAUUAAAUUUACCAGCCACAACAAUGAAUGUUGCCACUCCACUAAACCACAUACAUGAUCAAGACUAAGACAUGGAGACACAGAACACAACACAGAAACAUGCCCUUUGGUCCAUCUAGUCCAUUCUGAACUGUUAUUUAUUUGAUUUUGUUUGUUUUGUAUGUGUACACCUCUAUAUUUAUUAAUAAAGUUAAACAGAAAGUAACAGGAAUUACAUUUUUCAUUGUGGAUGUCUAGUUCCUAUAUACCUCCAUUCCCCAUCAGGAGAGCCUUUAAGCUCAUAUAGGCAUACAUACACGCACACACACCAAAUAUAAAUGUGAACUGAACUAGUCCUCACCCUCAAUAACUUCUUCUUCAGCUCCUUCCACUUCCUUCAAACCAAAGGUUUCAACAUAAGUUUCAAACUUUCAAACCAUAGG
Mobula hypostoma (lesser devil ray) is the source of this 3614-nucleotide long non-coding RNA. RefSeq lists it as uncharacterized. The record is from RefSeq and is a predicted model, not a curated record. NCBI's taxonomy places the organism in Eukaryota, Metazoa, Chordata, Chondrichthyes, Myliobatiformes, Myliobatidae. The transcript has 3 exons.